Long non-coding RNA from Liolophura sinensis, 610 nucleotides. RefSeq lists it as uncharacterized. The transcript has 2 exons. NCBI's taxonomy places the organism in Eukaryota, Metazoa, Mollusca, Polyplacophora, Chitonida, Chitonidae. The record is from RefSeq and is a predicted model, not a curated record.
CGGUCAUCGAGAGAGAACUGAGUUCCUGAUAUACACUGUAUACACGAGGAGACGCAAAAAUUGUACGGAAUGACUAGAGCCGUGUUUGUGUGUGCUAUCCUCAGCAGCGCCCUGUUACUCACUGUUCAAGCGACCUACACGGACCAGGUCACCAACGACUUCGUCCCCUGCAUGGUCGACUGCUACGACAACGUCAUUUCCUGCAAUGCUUGCUCGUCCUACGGUCUGGACCCGUGCCGUGCCAGGUGCAGGAGUAGCUUUGCCGCUUGUACACUCCGCUGUCGACGUUACAUGGCAGACUUCGAGGACCCACACGCAUAGGACGGUCAAGAGCUCAUGCGUGAGGUAGCAUCCGGAUGAUGAAAAUGAAACGAUCGGGACGAAAUGGCACUUUUAAUGACAAAAAGAACUUGAAUUAUUUUCGUUUUGCUCAAAUCUGUGUGAUAAGACAUUCACAUGUAUGUGUUUUCUAAAUACUGAUUUAACGCAAGUUCCCUUACGAUUUGAGGUUUAGACGAACGAAGUUUAUGUUUCAAUCUGAAUGCCUGUCUAUAAAACUUGAUUAUUAAAGGAUUUUCUGAUAAUUUAAACUGCUCUUAAUGGCCUAGAA